Molecule: RNA transcript, 1488 nt
Organism: Amborella trichopoda
Lineage: Eukaryota; Viridiplantae; Streptophyta; Magnoliopsida; Amborellales; Amborellaceae
Gene name: RNA-binding protein 2
Source: RefSeq, a predicted model, not a curated record
ACAAUUUUCCCUCGUAAAAAGCCCUAAAAUCUAUCACCCAUCCAUAGCCCAGCUUACACUUCAAUAGCCUCCCCUCUUCUUGUUUCCUAGGGUUUGGCUUUUAUAUCAUCAUCACCAGCUCCCUCUUUCUCCCUCAAAACCCGUGAUUUUGCCGAGGGAUUCUUAGUCCGUUUCCGGAGUAGGCCAUGGGGGAUUUCUGGAGGUUUGGAGACGGACGCCAGCAGGCCAUGAUGGCUCCGGCUAUGCCCACAAAGCGUUCUCGCACUGAAUUUGAUGCCAUGCCUACGGUUACCAGACAUGAUCUAGGAAUGCCCGGUGGCCUUGAGAUGUCUGGUUAUAUGCAGCGUGAAGAAGAUAGGGGAACCCGUGUGAUUAGGGACACUGAAUCUCUUGGAGCAUCAUAUGAUCGCUACCUUCGUAGUGGGCAAAUUACCUCCUUUGGUGCUGGAGAACCUGGUAAUCUUGGUGGAGGGGGCAUGACUAGGCCUGUGACUGGGGGAAUGCCUGGCCUUCCUGUUGAAGAUCCUGUUAUGAUGGGUGUUCCAAACAUGGAUCCCAGUUUGGGAGCUAAAGGGCGAAGCAUGCCAUUUGGUGGUGGAAGGCCUGAAAUGAUGCUUCCUCCUGAUGCUUCGAACACGCUUUUUGUUGAGGGCCUUCCAUCAAACUGUACUCGUAGGGAAGUUGCACAUAUCUUCCGCCCUUUUGUUGGUUUCAAAGAAGUAAGACUUGUGAACAAAGAGUCCAGACAACCUGGAGGAGAUCCAUUGGUCCUUUGCUUUGUUGAUUUUACAAGCCCAGCUUAUGCUGCAACUGCCUUGGAUGCUUUACAAGGUUACAAACUUGAUGAGCAUGAUCGAGACUCCCCAAACUUGAGGCUGCAAUUUGCCCGUUAUCCUGGGCCAAGGUCAGGAGGUGGGCCCCGUGGGAGACGUUGAGGCCUCCACCCAUUUGCCUAGCUAUCAGGUUUUGUGGGAUCGGGAAGAAGCGGCUCUGCGUGUUUAUGGCUGAAUGUUGGCAUCACCCAUAAUGACUUGCUCUCGCUCUCUACAGAUUUGACAUGAAGAAUACAGUAGUAGAGAUAGGAUCUCUCUCUGUCUACAGGUAUGGCACGAAGAAUACAGUGAGAUGAGGAUGCUGACAAUCAAAUUUGCAUGCCAUGUUUAUUCUUACUCUUGAUGUUGCAAGGGGAUGAAGCUGGUUGAGAUGUGUGGAGAACUGCUUGGGUUAUCCUUUGAUCUAUUUUAUUUCUUGCCUUUAUCUUCUCUGCACAUUGUUCUCUCUUUGGGGAGAGCAUGGCAUUCGCCAAUAGCACUGAAAAAAAGGAGUAAUGUCUUGCAAUUUAUCUUACUAGAGAAAUUUACAAACUCAACUCUCCAGUUUCAUGAAAUCGGAUCUUGAUCCAAUAACAGAUUUAUAACAUUCGAAAAAUUAUAAACUUUGCAAUCUGGUGUCGGGAGCCUGAAACAUGAGCCCAGCAUCAAUUUGGUG